AGUGAACGCUGGCGGUAGGCCUAACACAUGCAAGUCGAACGGCAGCACAGUAAGAGCUUGCUCUUACGGGUGGCGAGUGGCGGACGGGUGAGGAAUACAUCGGAAUCUACUUUUUCGUGGGGGAUAACGUAGGGAAACUUACGCUAAUACCGCAUACGACCUACGGGUGAAAGCAGGGGAUCUUCGGACCUUGCGCGAUUGAAUGAGCCGAUGUCGGAUUAGCUAGUUGGCGGGGUAAAGGCCCACCAAGGCGACGAUCCGUAGCUGGUCUGAGAGGAUGAUCAGCCACACUGGAACUGAGACACGGUCCAGACUCCUACGGGAGGCAGCAGUGGGGAAUAUUGGACAAUGGGCGCAAGCCUGAUCCAUCCAUACCGCGUGGGUGAAGAAGGCCUUCGGGUUGUAAAGCCCUUUUGUUGGGAAUGAAAAGCAGCAGGUUAAUACCCCGCUGUUCUGACGGUACCCAAAGAAUAAGCACCGGCUAACUUCGUG
Molecule: ribosomal RNA, 492 nt
Filed under: uncultured bacterium
Lineage: Bacteria
Description: partial 16S ribosomal RNA
Rfam family: Bacterial small subunit ribosomal RNA
Source: RNAcentral